CAACUUGAGAGUUUGAUCCUGGCUCAGAGCGAACGCUGGCGGCACGCUUAACACAUGCAAGUCGAACGAAGGCCCGGAGCUUGCUCCGGAUACCUUAGUGGCGGACGGGUGAGUAACGCGUGGGAAUCUACCUUACGAUGGGGGACAACAGUUGGAAACGACUGCUAAUACCGCAUACGCCCUUCGGGGGAAAGGCUUCGGCCGCCGUUAGAGAAUCCCGCGUUCGAUUAGCUAGUUGGUGAGGUAAUGGCUUACCAAGUCUACGAUCUUUAGCUGGUCUGAGAGGAUGAUCAGCCACACUGGAACUGAGACACGGUCCAGACUCCUACGGGAGGCAGCAGUGGGGAAUAUUG
This 353-nucleotide ribosomal RNA is filed under the name Rhodospirillales bacterium. RNAcentral's name for it is "bacterial SSU rRNA". It matches the Rfam family "Bacterial small subunit ribosomal RNA", at positions 1 to 366 of the family's 1533-position model. The record is from RNAcentral. Lineage: Bacteria; Pseudomonadati; Pseudomonadota; Alphaproteobacteria; Rhodospirillales.